UGGAGGCCGCGUGGGUGCAGGAUCUUUCGAAUUCGAUCAUCCUGUACUGUUUGUUUACAACAGAAAUUAUCACUCAUCAAGUCAUCAGUGUCACACGCGAUGUUCGGAUGUUCAUUGUUCAUUCGUGUGCGAAUUGCAAUUCUCGGGAAAAUGACAAAAUGUGUGUAAUUUAAAAUUGAUCAGAAUUAUUGAUAUUGAAAUCUUAAUUUCUGAAGCAAAGUGUGAGCGGAAAGUACCUACGCCAUAUUUUCACAUUUUAUUGGUCGACGUGUUUCAUGUAAUUCCUUAUCAGUUAUCAGAAUCGGAACCAUCGCCAUGGUUUGCGUCGAGUGACCAUCAGGAAAACACGUGUUAAAAAGUCGAGUCAAUUUUAAUGAAAAUGCUUUCAACAUGACGGAUAUUCCUCACUUAAUUGUGGAACGACCGCACCGAUGUUCAUGAUUAAUCUUAUCAAAUGUUGCUUAAUUAAAACAAGAAUGUGGUAAUACAAGAUGGAAUAUUCAAAUGAUGCUGUCAUAGAUUUUAUCGAAUGGAAAUUGCUGAUUCCCCUAUAGUUUCGAAUGGUUCGAAAAGCGAAUUUCACCUCGAGGCCGAUUCCUUUUCAAACGCCGCGCCGCGCCGCCCGCGCCCUGCCCUGCACCGCGGAAGAGUUUCGUCGAAUUGAAAAGAACCAUGCACGGCAGCAUAAUGGAAAAAAUGCUCCGCAAAAAAACAACAAAAUAGACGAAUUUAUUCGGGUAAUUAAUUCUACUGUAGUUUUAAGGGCGUUACCUUAGGUUCGAAUCGAUUCUCAAUAUAUGUUGGGAUUAUUUAUUCGAAAAUGCUUUUAUCAGUUCAUUAAAUGACAUAAGUAUGGGGACUAAGGAAUAAGGAUUCCAGUGUACUAUAAAUAAUCAAAGCCAUCCACAUAAACAAUGUCCUAUUUUUGAAACAGUGCAGGCUAAAAACGCGCAAAAAAUUCUACAGUUCGUGUAAUGGAAACUUACGAGUAUUUCAAACGUGUUUUAGUUUUAAAUCUAAAAAUUCGAUUCGAUUUUUUAUCUCGAAAGCUUGACGUUUUCCUAGGCGGAGUCUGCGGUAAAAUGUGGCAUUUUUUUCCCUUUAACUUUUCCUCGUAUAGUUAGAUACAAUAUAACGUUAAUGGUGAAGGUAUACUUACUUAUACUACAUACUCGUAGAAUAAAAUGGGAUAAUUUGUAAGUAAAUAAAUCGUAUUAAUGAGCGAUCUAAUUUCUAGGCUAUUAAUUACUCGCAAACGCGACUUUUCUCGUGUAAUUUACAAUUACCUACAGAGAUAUAUCGAUGCCCGGUACUUCGUUAAUGAAGUUAUCAAACUUCAAAUUGCUACAGUCCGUUAAAUUUACCAUAGGUAAGAGUCAAGGCUGUGUGGUAAUUUAAUAUUAGUUAUUCCAACUAUCCUAUGAUACGAUGUCCAUCUACAGGCUACAGGCUCCCCAAACUACACCUUAUCCCUUUUUACCUAUAUAUGUACGUAUCGUGGGUAUAGUUACGUCCAUGUAAGUUGUAUUGGUAUGCACUAUAAAUAAAUACCUAUGCUAAUGCA
Long non-coding RNA from Planococcus citri (citrus mealybug), 1564 nucleotides. RefSeq lists it as uncharacterized. The record is from RefSeq and is a predicted model, not a curated record. The transcript is spliced from 5 exons. NCBI's taxonomy places the organism in Eukaryota, Metazoa, Arthropoda, Insecta, Hemiptera, Pseudococcidae.